CCUACGGGAGGCUGCAGUAGGGAAUUUUGCGCAAUGGGGGAAACCCUGACGCAGCAACGUCGCGUGAUCGAUGAAGCCCUUCGGGGUGUAAAGAUCUGUCAGUGGGGACGAAACCUGACGGUACCCACAGAGGAAGCACCGGCUAACUCCGUGCCAGCAGCCGCGGUAAUACGGGGGGUGCAAGCGUUGUCCGGAAUCAUUGGGCGUAAAGAGUUCGUAGGUGGGACGUUUGGUCUGGUGUUAAAGGGGGAAGGUCAACUUCCGUAGUGCAGUGGAUACUGGCGAGCUUGAAUGCGGUAGAGGUAGAGGGAAUGCGUGGUGUAGCGGUGAAAUGCGUAGAUAUCAGGAAGAACGUCGAUGGCGUAGGCGCUUUACUGGCCCGUAAUUGACACUGAGGAACGAAAGCCGGGGUAGCAAAUGGGAUUAGAUACCCUAGUAGUC
This 441-nucleotide ribosomal RNA is filed under the name uncultured bacterium. RNAcentral describes it as "partial 16S ribosomal RNA". It matches the Rfam family "Bacterial small subunit ribosomal RNA", at positions 338 to 795 of the family's 1533-position model. The record is from RNAcentral.